AACACUGAACCGUGGGCUAGGGAUUUGAAACUAAAGGACUUUGAGCUUCUGUGCCUCGAUGGCACUCGGAAGCCUGUGACUGAGGCUCGGAGCUGCCACCUGGCUGUGGCCCCAAAUCAUGCUGUGGUAUCUCGGCAAGAUAAGGUAGAACGCCUUGAACAGGUGCUGCUCCAACAACAGGCCCUGUUUGGAAGAAAUGGACCUGACUGCCCAGGGAAGUUUUGCUUGUUCCAGUCUGAAACCAAAAACCUUCUGUUCAAUGACAACACUGAGUGUCUGGCCAGACUCCAUGGAAAAACGACAUAUGAAAAAUAUUUGGGGCCACAGUAUGUCACGGCUGUUGCUAAUCUGAGACGGUGCUCAACCUCCCCGCUCCUGGACGCCUGUGCUUUCCUCAGGAGGUAAAACCCAGGAAGAUGGCCCAGCAUCACCAUCCUGUCCCCAUCCUGUCCCCCCGUCCUGUUCCUGAGGGAGCCUCAGCCACUCACUGCUCUCUGUUGCCUUCCCCUCCUUGCUGAGGGUGGGGCUUGCCAAUCUCAUUUGUUCUCACAAUUACCUGCUGUCACCUUAACAAGAAAUAAAAUUAGAAAUACUGUUGAUUUUCUCUCCUUAUAAA
Galeopterus variegatus (Sunda flying lemur) is the source of this 616-nucleotide long non-coding RNA. RefSeq lists it as uncharacterized. Lineage: Eukaryota; Metazoa; Chordata; Mammalia; Dermoptera; Cynocephalidae. The transcript has 3 exons. The record is from RefSeq and is a predicted model, not a curated record.